AUUGAACGCUGGCGGCAGGCCUAACACAUGCAAGUCGAGCGGAUGAAGGGAGCUUGCUCCUGGAUUCAGCGGCGGACGGGUGAGUAAUGCUUAGGAAUCUGCCUGGUAGUGGGGGAUAACGUCCGGAAACGGGCGCUAAUACCGCAUACGUCCUGAGGGAGAAAGUGGGGGAUCUUCGGGCCUCACGCUAUCAGAUGAGCCUAGGUCGGAUUAGCUAGUUGGUGAGGUAAAGGCCUACCAAGGCGACGAUCCGUAACUGGUCUGAGAGGAUGAUCAGUCACACUGGAACUGAGACACGGUCCAGACUCCUACGGGAGGCAGCAGUGGGGAAUAUUGGACAAUGGGCGAAAGCCUGAUCCAGCCAUGCCGCGUGUGUGAAGAAGGUCUUCGGAUUGUAAAGCACUUUAAGUUGGGAGGAAGGGCAGUAAGUUAAUACCUUGCUGUUUUGACGUUACCAACAGAAUAAGCACCGGCUAACUUCGU
RNAcentral lists this ribosomal RNA (483 nucleotides) under uncultured bacterium. RNAcentral's name for it is "partial 16S ribosomal RNA". It matches the Rfam family "Bacterial small subunit ribosomal RNA", at positions 30 to 506 of the family's 1533-position model. The record is from RNAcentral.